This 400-nucleotide ribosomal RNA is filed under the name Streptomycetaceae bacterium ACTS22. RNAcentral's name for it is "bacterial SSU rRNA". It matches the Rfam family "Bacterial small subunit ribosomal RNA", at positions 43 to 446 of the family's 1533-position model. Lineage: Bacteria; Bacillati; Actinomycetota; Actinomycetes; Kitasatosporales; Streptomycetaceae. The record is from RNAcentral.
CGUGCUUAACACAUGCAAGUCGAACGAUGAACCACUUCGGUGGGGAUUAGUGGCGAACGGGUGAGUAACACGUGGGCAAUCUGCCCUGCACUCUGGGACAAGCCCUGGAAACGGGGUCUAAUACCGGAUACUGAUCAUCUUAGGCAUCUUGGAUGAUCGAAAGCUCCGGCGGUGCAGGAUGAGCCCGCGGCCUAUCAGCUAGUUGGUGAGGUAAUGGCUCACCAAGGCGACGACGGGUAGCCGGCCUGAGAGGGCGACCGGCCACACUGGGACUGAGACACGGCCCAGACUCCUACGGGAGGCAGCAGUGGGGAAUAUUGCACAAUGGGCGAAAGCCUGAUGCAGCGACGCCGCGUGAGGGAUGACGGCCUUCGGGUUGUAAACCUCUUUCAGCAGGGAA